GGAGAGGUGACCGAGCGGCCGAAGGUGCACGACUGGAAAUCGUGUGUACCCGAAAGGGUACCGAGAGUUCAAAUCUCUCCCUCUCCGCCA
This 90-nucleotide transfer RNA is filed under the name Desulfovibrio sp. Its description in RNAcentral is "tRNA-Ser". It matches the Rfam family "tRNA". From Rfam's summary of the family: Transfer RNA (tRNA) molecules are approximately 80 nucleotides in length. RNAcentral also lists the same sequence under 3 other names. Lineage: Bacteria; Pseudomonadati; Thermodesulfobacteriota; Desulfovibrionia; Desulfovibrionales; Desulfovibrionaceae. The record is from RNAcentral.